This 136-nucleotide small nucleolar RNA is filed under the name Tinamus guttatus (white-throated tinamou). Lineage: Eukaryota; Metazoa; Chordata; Aves; Tinamiformes; Tinamidae. The record is from RNAcentral.
GUGGCUCUCUUUGCUAUUGGCUGCAUUUGAGAGAUGUUUAAUGCAACCAUAAGAAGCCACAAAUAGUAAAUAAGUGGUUCCUGCCGACAGAGUCUGUAGAGAUAUCAGAUUUUUCUGUGCGAUGGUUCCAUACAUU